Molecule: long non-coding RNA, 406 nt
Organism: Penaeus indicus
Lineage: Eukaryota; Metazoa; Arthropoda; Malacostraca; Decapoda; Penaeidae
Exons: 3
Source: RefSeq, a predicted model, not a curated record
UAUAACUGUAUAUCACUGUUGAUAAUGAAUUUAUCACCUGUGCAUAUGUACAUGCUCUAAUUUGGGUUGUAUUUGCAGGCAGGAAAGCCAGGGUGUACUGGGAUCCCCACGUCAAAACUUUCGACAACAAACACUACAAUUACCACAAACCUUGUAACUUUUCAUUGGUCCAACCUGGUUUGAUACAGACUCCUAAAUAUGGAGUUUAUGCUCAGUUUGCUGAGUGCAUAGGACUUGGUACCUGUAUUGAAAAAAUAGUAUUCAAGGACAAUAAUAAUACUGUAAUCACCAUCUCUGUGAGAAAUAAGGAAGAGCUUACCGUAUUUCUGAACGGCAAGGAGUUCCCCGUCAGCAGCGACACCCCCUCCUUCAUGGUCCAGGACGGCGUGCAGCAUCCCGUGCUCGC